GUCGUGAGAUGUUGGGUUAAGUACCCGCCAACGAGCGCACCCCUACGCAUCCACGGUUGCCAUCGGGCGAGCCGGGCACUCUGGAGGGACUGCCGGCGACAAGCCGGAGGAAGGUGGGGAUGACGUCAAGUCAUCAUGGCCCUUAUGUCCAGGGCGACACACGUGCUACAAUGGCCGGCACAGCGGGAAGCGGAGGGGCGACCCUGAGCGGAUCCCUUGAAAGCCGGUCCCAGUUCGGAUUGCAGUCUGCAACUCGACUGCAUGAAGUUGGAAUCGCUAGUAAUCGCGGAUCAGCCAAGCCGCGGUGAAUACGUUCCCGGGCCUU
This 325-nucleotide ribosomal RNA is filed under the name uncultured Thermovirga sp. RNAcentral's name for it is "bacterial SSU rRNA". It matches the Rfam family "Bacterial small subunit ribosomal RNA", at positions 1064 to 1382 of the family's 1533-position model. Lineage: Bacteria; Thermotogati; Synergistota; Synergistia; Synergistales; Thermovirgaceae. The record is from RNAcentral.